This 356-nucleotide ribosomal RNA is filed under the name uncultured bacterium. Its description in RNAcentral is "bacterial SSU rRNA". It matches the Rfam family "Bacterial small subunit ribosomal RNA", at positions 527 to 881 of the family's 1533-position model. The record is from RNAcentral.
GUAUGGUGCAAGCGUUAUCCGGAUUUACUGGGUGUAAAGGGAGCGCAGGCGGAAGGCUAAGUCUGAUAUGAAAACCCGGGGCUCAACCCCGGGACUGCAUUGGAAACUGUCAAUCUAGAGUACCGGAGAGGUAAGCGGAAUUCCUAGUGUAGCGGUGAAAUGCGUAGAUAUUAGGAGGAACACCAGUGGCGAAGGCGGCUUACUGGACGGUAACUGACGUUGAGGCUCGAAAGCGUGGGGAGCAAACAGGAUUAGAUACCCUGGUAGUCCACGCGGUAAACGAUGAAUGCUAGGUGUAGGAGGUAUCGACCCCUUCUGUGCCGCAGUAAACACAAUAAGCAUUCCGCCUGGGGAGU